GUACAUAGGUGGAAAUUAUUCUGAUUAUCCCCAUACACUUCUGAGGAGCAGAAUAAUGCCUUUGGACAAGAUCUGCUAAUAAUCAAAUUAUUUAGUUUAGAGUACUUUUUGUAGCUAUAGCUGUGUUUUUAGCAUUAAAGCUCUUUGGCGAAAUAAGAAUCUCUGGAUUGAACUAUGGGGUGCAACUCAAGUAAGAGUGUUCAGGUUGUGGACCCAUCUAAACAGCCUGAAGAUAGACCAGAAUCAGCUAACUCAACGAAUAAUGAAGAAGCGGACAACGACAAAGAAACCUCACAAACAGAGAGAGAUGAAAUCGAGACGGAAGACAGUUGAUAAUGUCCUUCACUUUGCAGAUUUCCUUCCUCAAGCUUCUAGGUUUCAGUUUGUAUCCAGUCCAGUGGUCAACUGCUGAAGUUCCUUGGAUCGUGUGAUGAGAUCUGCAUCGUUUUGUUACAUUUAUAUGAUGUCUCUGAUCUCUCCAUACAUAUCUGGUCAUAUCAUGUGAUCUCUAUCUAUCAUAACAACUCAUACCAAGAACAACCUUCUGUAUUUAUGAUGGGUCUUUGCAAAACCAUACUGUUCAAACUGUUGAGCUCACUGUACUUUAACUGUGAUGAUGCUAUUACCAGAAAAUGAUGUUUUUCUUUUAAUGUACUACUUAUCAGCUAUUCUUUAUAAUGUAAAUUUAUAUUCCUUAAGACAUAACAAAUGCACUGUUAUUGGCUUUAUCUCUUUCUCGCUAACACACACACACACACACACACACACACACACACACACACACACACACACACACACACACACACACACACACACACACACACACA
Long non-coding RNA from Xyrauchen texanus (razorback sucker), 827 nucleotides. RefSeq lists it as uncharacterized. The record is from RefSeq and is a predicted model, not a curated record. NCBI's taxonomy places the organism in Eukaryota, Metazoa, Chordata, Actinopteri, Cypriniformes, Catostomidae. The transcript is spliced from 2 exons.